GGAUGAACGCUGGCGGCGUGCCUAAUACAUGCAAGUCGAGCGAGCGGACGAGAAGCUUGCUUCUCUGAUGUUAGCGGCGGACGGGUGAGUAACACGUGGAUAACCUACCUAUAAGACUGGGAUAACUUCGGGAAACCGGAGCUAAUACCGGAUAAUAUUUUGAACCGCAUGGUUCAAAAGUGAAAGACGGUCUUGCUGUCACUUAUAGAUGGAUCCGCGCUGCAUUAGCUAGUUGGUAAGGUAACGGCUUACCAAGGCAACGAUGCAUAGCCGACCUGAGAGGGUGAUCGGCCACACUGGAACUGAGACACGGUCCAGACUCCUACGGGAGGCAGCAGUAGGGAAUCUUCCGCAAUGGGCGAAAGCCUGACGGAGCAACGCCGCGUGAGUGAUGAAGGUCUUCGGAUCGUAAAACUCUGUUAUUAGGGAAGAACAUAUGUGUAAGUAACUGUGCACAUCUUGACGGUACCUAAUCAGAAAGCCACGGCUAACUACGUG
This 498-nucleotide ribosomal RNA is filed under the name uncultured bacterium. Its description in RNAcentral is "partial 16S ribosomal RNA". It matches the Rfam family "Bacterial small subunit ribosomal RNA", at positions 27 to 507 of the family's 1533-position model. The record is from RNAcentral.